GUAAUUUCCGGUUUGUAAUUGAAAAACGAGAAAUUUUGAAACAAUUACGUUUUUUGUCUACAUUUACUGCUGUUCGAGGAUGCUUCUGUCGAGUUAUGACAGGACAGUAUCCAUGCUCCCUGUCGGACACCCUCCCAUGUUGCAGUUAACAUUUCCCUGCCAGUCUUCUUCCCCCAUCAUGCCCAACUGACUGGUUCAAUAUUGUUCAAAACUAUAUGGAAAUGCCUCGUCAUCGUAGUUUGGAGUAUGUGCAGAGCACUGAGGAUAACAAGCAGUUUAUUUGCUUGAUGAGACUGAUUUGCCGGGGAAGGGAGCAGACACUGCUGUGAGCAUGAUGAUCACUACUUCAAGUACCAUGGUUUGGAGAUGAAAAGCCGAAAAUGGCACUUUGGUCUUUGGAAAAGCAGCAAACAGGCCUGGCUUUGUGCAGUGCAGGUGUGUUGCAUCGGAUAUGGUGUAGUUUACCUUAAUGAAAACCAGAGUAGUUGUGUUACCUGAACUCCUUUCCGAAAUCUGCAUCAAGGGGAUGGAUCUUGAAUGGCAGUGGUAUUAACAUGACAAGAUCAGAUAAUACAGCAGAUUUGACAUUUAAAAAGACAGUGUGCCCUUGACAGUCUCAACCAAAGCAUUGAACAAACUGUACAACCUGUUAAUUAACUUUUAGAGCUGUUUGUUUGGACUAGUGUUUGUCAUUCAGAAAUAAGUAUUAACAUUAUUUCUCAGUAUGAGAAAACUCCAGGAAUUAGAAACUUACUGAUAUUUACUAUAACUAUGUAAACAAACCUCUUACGGGUUUAGCCAGGUUAAAGAAAGACAGGGAGCCACAGAAAAGAGACAGGUUUCCAUGUGUCAAUAGAACACCCUUCAUUUAGCUGUGAAGAAUUUUAACAUUUUGAAUGUUACAGAAAAUGUAAGGAACAUUGUAUAAUGUUUAAUUGAAGUACUAUUAGGUUUCAAGUGCCAAAUAUGUAAAGCCUGUGUGUAUUUAUAAUCAUGUUAAUAUAAAGUUGUUAUCAAAACAAAAUCAAUAUUUGACUGUCUUAAGCUUUUAAUUCUAUGAAGGCAGGAGGUUGCCAAUCUAUUUGUUAGUUCUACCUUUUUCAUAACUGUGGCCAGGGGUUUGCAGGCCCUUAUAACACUUUAAAAAAAAACUGAUAAAAUUUCAAUUUUACUCUGUUAACUUUGAUAUGGUAAUCUAAUCUUACUGCAGCUCAUUUCUGCAAUAUUAUGACUGAAACUGUAUGUUAUAACAAUAAGUAUGGUUACCUGUAAGUUACUUAAAUGGAAUUUUUUGACAAGUAUAUAAGACAAAAUUAUUGGAAAAAAUAAGAAAAAAAUUGUUUGUUAAAAGGUAUAAUGCAUGUAUGUAGACAAAAACAAAAUGAAUAAUUACUUUGUGUUUGAAUAAACUGUAUAAUAAUUGUUUUCACUUCUUACAUUUGAUAUAUUCUCUAAAAUGGCAAUUUAGGAUUUGACUCCAAAAGUUUUGCACACAGUAUCACAAUAUAUAUAUAUAUAUAUCACAGGUUAUUCACAUCUACUGAUCUCCAAUAGUUCACAUUUAUUGUUCGCAUAUUGUUAACAUUUAUUGGUUCAUAGUUCGCGAAUGGUUCACAUGUACUAUUCGCAAAUUGUUUACAUGUACUGUUCGCAAAUUGUUUACAUUUAAUAUUCGCAAGUUGUUACCAUUUAAUAUUCGCGAAUUGUUAACAUUUAAUAUUCGCAAGUUGUUACCAUUUAAUAUUCGCGAAUUGUUAACAUUUAAUAGUCGCAAGUUGUUAACAUUUAAUGAUCUCCAUUUGUACAAUUUGUUCACAAUUUGUUCGCAAUUUGAGUUCGCAGAUAAUCUAAUUUGCAUGUGAAAAGUGAACAUUCUGUGAACAUUGUGCGAAUGAAUUCUUAGAAGAAGAUACAUGUUCGCAGAUAGUUCGCAAAAUAUUUACAUAUUAUUCACAAUAACUGUUCACAUUUAAUGCAUUUUUUCUGUAAGGGUGUCGUAUUACCUUGUGAUUCGUAUUUUCGAUUAACUUAUGCUAUAAAUUAUGCUAAUCUACCUACAUUUUAUAUAAAGUCUAAUGUCUUUCAACUGCCAAAUAUGUUUAUGUGAUUUUACUAUAAGAAUUAUUUAUUUGUUUCAAGUGUACAUACUGAAUAUUAUUAUUUGCAUGAACUGAUGUGUGUGAUAUAUUAGUUACAUAAAUUAUGCUAUUUAUUUAUAUAAUGUCGGUCAAAAGCUAUUCACAGCUUAUGUUAAACUGUUGAUGAUAGUACCCGACAAUAAAUAAAUAUUGACUUGA
Molecule: long non-coding RNA, 2297 nt
Organism: Mya arenaria
Lineage: Eukaryota; Metazoa; Mollusca; Bivalvia; Myida; Myidae
Exons: 4
Source: RefSeq, a predicted model, not a curated record